UGGGGUCAUAUCAACAUCCUGCAGAACUAAUUGUAGAAGACAGAAGCCUCAAAUCUUGACAGCAGCAGCAGCAGCAACCAAAAUCAGGUAGCCAUAGUAUUUGGCAAGGACAAUAACUGGAAGCAACCAGCCUUACUGAUUUCUGAAGACUCGUUAAUUAUCAGCAACCAGCACUUGUUAAUUAUCAGCAACCAGUAGCAGCAGUAACCAGGUAACCAUCGUGUAGCCUUGGACCUCCCAUGACUCUUGCUCAGUCACCAAGUAAUAUCUAUCUAUAAGACUAGAACAUCUAAAGCUUUCUUUGACUAUUUCAGACAAGA
RNAcentral lists this long non-coding RNA (320 nucleotides) under Olea europaea (common olive). RNAcentral's name for it is "long non-coding RNA (OEUR_LNC008539)". The record is from RNAcentral. Lineage: Eukaryota; Viridiplantae; Streptophyta; Magnoliopsida; Lamiales; Oleaceae.